UACGUAGGGGGCUAGCGUUGUCCGGAAUCAUUGGGCGUAAAGCGCGCGUAGGCGGUCCGGUAAGUCCGCUGUGAAAGUCGAGGGCUCAACCCUCGAAUGCCGGUGGAUACUGUCGGGCUAGAGUACGGAAGAGGCGAGUGGAAUUCCUGGUGUAGCGGUGAAAUGCGCAGAUAUCAGGAGGAACACCAAUUGCGAAGGCAGCUCGCUGGGACGUCACUGACGCUGAGACGCGAAAGCGUGGGGAGCAAACAGG
Molecule: ribosomal RNA, 253 nt
Filed under: uncultured bacterium
Lineage: Bacteria
Description: partial 16S ribosomal RNA
Rfam family: Bacterial small subunit ribosomal RNA
Source: RNAcentral